AAAUGGUCUCCACCAGAAAUCCAAGAAUGUGAUCUAUGGCAAGGAAACAUAUGUGGGGUGAGGUGUAUGAGCCUCUGGUCGAUGAUCAAUGGCCACACAACCCCCAUUUUGCCGAAAAUAGCCAUGAACGACCAUUUUCAAUAAUACCGAAGGCUAACACCUACGGAUUUUUGACCAAGAAAUGGUCUCCACCAGAAAUCCAAGAAUGUGAUCUAUGGCAAGGAAACAUAUGUGGGGUGAGGUGUAUGAGCCUCUGGUCGAUGAUCAAUGGCCACACAACCCCCAUUUUUGUCGAAAAUAGCCAUGAACGACCAUUUUCAAUAAUACGAAGGCUAACACCUACGGAUUUUUGACCAAGAAAUGGUCUCCACCAGAAAUCCAAGAAUGUGAUCUAUGGCAAGGAAACAUAUGUGGGGUGAGGUGUAUGAGCCUCUGGUCGAUGAUCAAUGGCCACACAACCCCCAUUUUUGUCGAAAAUAGCCAUGAACGACCAUUUUCAAUAAUACCGAAGGCUAACACCUACGGAUUUUUGACCAAGAAAUGGUCUCCACCAGAAAUCCAAGAAUGUGAUCUAUGGCAAGGAAACAUAUGUGGGGUGAGGUGUAUGAGCCUCUGGUCGAUGAUCAAUGGCCACACAACCCCCAUUUUUGUCGAAAAUAGCCAUGAACGACCAUUUUCAAUAAUACGAAGGCUAACACCUACGGAUUUUUGACCAAGAAAUGGUCUCCACCAGAAAUCCAAGAAUGUGAUCUAUGGCAAGGAAACAUAUGUGGGGUGAGGUGUAUGAGCCUCUGGUCGAUGAUCAAUGGCCACACAACCCCCAUUUUGUCGAAAAUAGCCAUGAAUGACCAUUUUCAAUAAUACCGAAGGCUAACACCUACGGAUUUUUGACCAAGAAAUGGUCUCCACCAGAAAUCCAAGAAUGUGAUCUAUGGCAAGGAAACAUAUGUGGGGUGAGGUGUAUGAGCCUCUGGUCGAUGAUCAAUGGCCACACAACCCCCAUUUUUGUCGAAAAUAGCCAUGAACGACCAUUUUCAAUAAUACGAAGGCUAACACUACGGAUUUUUGACCAAGAAAUGGUCUCCACCAGAAAUCCAAGAAUGUGAUCUAUGGCAAGGAAACAUAUGUGGGGUGAGGUGUAUGAGCCUCUGGUCGAUGAUCAAUGGCCACACAACCCCCAUUUUUGUCGAAAAUAGCCAUGAACGACCAUUUUCAAUAAUACCGAAGGCUAACACCUACGGAUUUUUGACCAAGAAAUGGUCUCCACCAGAAAUCCAAGAAUGUGAUCUAUGGCAAGGAAACAUAUGUGGGGUGAGGUGUAUGAGCCUCUGGUCGAUGAUCAAUGGCCACACAACCCCAUUUUUGUCGAAAAUAGCCAUGAACGACCAUUUUCAAUAAUACGAAGGCUAACACUACGGAUUUUUGACCAAGAAAUGGUCUCCACCAGAAAUCCAAGAAUGUGAUCUAUGGCAAGGAAACAUAUGUGGGGUGAGGUGUAUGAGCCUCUGGUCGAUGAUCAAUGGCCACACAACCCCCAUUUUUGUCGAAAAUAGCCAUGAAUGACCAUUUUCAAUAAUACCGAAGGCUAACACUACGGAUUUUUGACCAAGAAAUGGUCUCCACCAGAAAUCCAAGAAUGUGAUCUAUGGCAAGGAAACAUAUGUGGGGUGAGGUGUAGAGCCUCUGGUCGAUGAUCAAUGGCCACACAACCCCCAUUUUGCCGAAAAUAGCCAUGAAGACCAUUUUCAAUAAUACGAAGGCUAACACUACGAUUUUUACCAAGAAAUGGUCUCCACCAGAAAUCCAAGAAUGUGAUCUAUGGCAAGGAAACAUAUGUGGGGUGAGGUUAUGAGCCUCUGUCGAUGAUAAUGGCCACACAACCCCCAUUUUUGUCGAAAAUAGCCAUGACGACCAUUUUCAAUAAUACGAGGCUAACACCUACGGAUUUUGACCAAGAAAUGGUCUCCACCAGAAAUCCAAGAAUGUGAUCUAUGGCAAGGAAACAUAUGUGGGGUGAGGUGUAUGAGCCUCUGGUCGAUGAUCAAUGGCCACACAACCCCCAUUUUUGUCGAAAAUAGCCAUGAACGACCAUUUUCAAUAAUACCGAAGGCUAACACCUACGGAUUUUUGACCAAGAAAUGGUCUCCACCAGAAAUCCAAGAAUGUGAUCUAUGGCAAGGAAACAUAUGUGGGGUGAGGUGUAUGAGCCUCUGGUCGACGAUCAAUGGCCACACAACCCCAAUUUUUGUCGAAAAUAGCCAUGAACGACCAUUUUCAAUGACACUGAAGGCUAACACCUACGGAUUUUUGACCAAGAAAUGGUCUCCACCAUAAAUCCAAGAAUGUGAUCUAUGGCAAGGAAACAUAUGUGUAGUGAGGUGUAUGAGCCUCUGGUCGAAGAUCAAUGGCCACACAACCCCCAAUUUUGUCGAAAAUAGCCAUGAAUGAACAUUUUCAAAAAUACCAAAGGCUAACACAUUCGG
RNAcentral lists this long non-coding RNA (2483 nucleotides) under Zea mays. RNAcentral's name for it is "long non-coding RNA (ZMAY_LNC005783)". The record is from RNAcentral. Lineage: Eukaryota; Viridiplantae; Streptophyta; Magnoliopsida; Poales; Poaceae.